GUGGCGGACGGGUGAGUAACGCGUGGGUAACCUACCCUGUACAGGGGGAUAACAGUCAGAAAUGACUGCUAAUACCGCAUAAGACCACAGCACCGCAUGGUGCAGGGGUAAAAACUCCGGUGGUACAGGAUGGACCCGCGUCUGAUUAGCUGGUUGGUGAGGUAACGGCUCACCAAGGCGACGAUCAGUAGCCGGCUUGAGAGAGUGAACGGCCACAUUGGGACUGAGACACGGCCCAAACUCCUACGGGAGGCAGCAUG
Molecule: ribosomal RNA, 260 nt
Filed under: uncultured bacterium
Lineage: Bacteria
Description: partial 16S ribosomal RNA
Rfam family: Bacterial small subunit ribosomal RNA
Source: RNAcentral